This 1658-nucleotide ribosomal RNA is filed under the name Staphylococcus aureus. Its description in RNAcentral is "partial 23S ribosomal RNA". It matches the Rfam family "Bacterial large subunit ribosomal RNA", at positions 535 to 2196 of the family's 2925-position model. Lineage: Bacteria; Bacillati; Bacillota; Bacilli; Caryophanales; Staphylococcaceae. The record is from RNAcentral.
GGAGUGAAAUAGAACCUGAAACCGUGUGCUUACAAGUAGUCAGAGCCCGUUAAUGGGUGAUGGCGUGCCUUUUGUAGAAUGAACCGGCGAGUUACGAUUUGAUGCAAGGUUAAGCAGUAAAUGUGGAGCCGUAGCGAAAGCGAGUCUGAAUAGGGCGUUUAGUAUUUGGUCGUAGACCCGAAACCAGGUGAUCUACCCUUGGUCAGGUUGAAGUUCAGGUAACACUGAAUGGAGGACCGAACCGACUUACGUUGAAAAGUGAGCGGAUGAACUGAGGGUAGCGGAGAAAUUCCAAUCGAACCUGGAGAUAGCUGGUUCUCUCCGAAAUAGCUUUAGGGCUAGCCUCAAGUGAUGAUUAUUGGAGGUAGAGCACUGUUUGGACGAGGGGCCCCUCUCGGGUUACCGAAUUCAGACAAACUCCGAAUGCCAAUUAAUUUAACUUGGGAGUCAGAACAUGGGUGAUAAGGUCCGUGUUCGAAAGGGAAACAGCCCAGACCACCAGCUAAGGUCCCAAAAUAUAUGUUAAGUGGAAAAGGAUGUGGCGUUGCCCAGACAACUAGGAUGUUGGCUUAGAAGCAGCCAUCAUUUAAAGAGUGCGUAAUAGCUCACUAGUCGAGUGACACUGCGCCGAAAAUGUACCGGGGCUAAACAUAUUACCGAAGCUGUGGAUUGUCCUUUGGACAAUGGUAGGAGAGCGUUCUAAGGGCGUUGAAGCAUGAUCGUAAGGACAUGUGGAGCGCUUAGAAGUGAGAAUGCCGGUGUGAGUAGCGAAAGACGGGUGAGAAUCCCGUCCACCGAUUGACUAAGGUUUCCAGAGGAAGGCUCGUCCGCUCUGGGUUAGUCGGGUCCUAAGCUGAGGCCGACAGGCGUAGGCGAUGGAUAACAGGUUGAUAUUCCUGUACCACCUAUAAUCGUUUUAAUCGAUGGGGGGACGCAGUAGGAUAGGCGAAGCGUGCGAUUGGAUUGCACGUCUAAGCAGUAAGGCUGAGUAUUAGGCAAAUCCGGUACUCGUUAAGGCUGAGCUGUGAUGGGGAGAAGACAUUGUGUCUUCGAGUCGUUGAUUUCACACUGCCGAGAAAAGCCUCUAGAUAGAAAAUAGGUGCCCGUACCGCAAACCGACACAGGUAGUCAAGAUGAGAAUUCUAAGGUGAGCGAGCGAACUCUCGUUAAGGAACUCGGCAAAAUGACCCCGUAACUUCGGGAGAAGGGGUGCUCUUUAGGGUUAACGCCCAGAAGAGCCGCAGUGAAUAGGCCCAAGCGACUGUUUAUCAAAAACACAGGUCUCUGCUAAACCGUAAGGUGAUGUAUAGGGGCUGACGCCUGCCCGGUGCUGGAAGGUUAAGAGGAGUGGUUAGCUUCUGCGAAGCUACGAAUCGAAGCCCCAGUAAACGGCGGCCGUAACUAUAACGGUCCUAAGGUAGCGAAAUUCCUUGUCGGGUAAGUUCCGACCCGCACGAAAGGCGUAACGAUUUGGGCACUGUCUCAACGAGAGACUCGGUGAAAUCAUAGUACCUGUGAAGAUGCAGGUUACCCGCGACAGGACGGAAAGACCCCGUGGAGCUUUACUGUAGCCUGAUAUUGAAAUUCGGCACAGCUUGUACAGGAUAGGUAGGAGCCUUUGAAACGUGAGCGCUAGCUUACGUGGAGGCGCUGGUGGG